CAACAUUCCAUAAUCUUCCUACACAUCAAUACCUUCUUUAAAUACAAUAGUGUUGCUACUAUCAAUGGUUUUUGAAAAGGGUAUCUGAAAUUAAUUGGUCCAGAUUAAAAAAAAGAAAGAAAAAAGAGAGAAAGAAAUGGCCCCAAGGCCGGGAAGAGGCAAGUCAAAUAAAGCUAAGGCAGAGAAGAAAAAGAAAGAGGAGAAAGUGGUAGCGCCCAGCCUUCUUGACAUCAUUGUGAUCACUCCAUAUGAUACACAAGUUGUUCUGAAGGGUAUCUCCACUGACAGGAUACUUGAUGUGAAGAAGCUAUUGGCUGUGAAAGUAGAAACAUGCCACCUUACAAACUAUUCUUUAUCUCAUGAAGUUAAAGGGCAGAGAUUGAAUGACAGAGUGGAAAUUGCUACCUUGAAGCCAUGUUUGCUGAAAAUGGUUGAAGAGGACUACGCUGAGGAAGCUCAAGCCGUAGCUCACGUCCGGAGGCUUCUGGACAUCGUCGCUUGCACCACCAGGUUCAACAAGUCCAAGCGAUCAUCGCCAUCAACGCCGCCAUCAGAAUCCAAAUUCAAAAAGGCUAA
RNAcentral lists this unclassified non-coding RNA (576 nucleotides) under Hevea brasiliensis (rubber tree). The record is from RNAcentral. Lineage: Eukaryota; Viridiplantae; Streptophyta; Magnoliopsida; Malpighiales; Euphorbiaceae.